CGGUCUAAAAGGAUCCGUCUUCCGACAUAAAUGCAACAUCUUGUAUGUUCAUGAAAUGCAAAAUAGUUUAAAAGUGGUUUGACCGCGCAGGUCGCCAAGAAGGCUUGCUUUGAAAUAAAUCUCCACACAUCUCCCAAGCCGCCCCUCUCUGCUCUGCGUCACAUGCGGCGCAUCCUCACAGAAACCGAGCGGAACCACUUCCAUUCUGACCUGGAUUAGGGAACGCUCAGCUGAACGGAGAAGACACGACCGCAGAGCUCGGUAGAAGAUAAAGCGGGAUGUAUGUUCUGCCCUGACCAUGUCCGGAUGGAGUCAGGAGAACAAGGCUAACGCGGAGCCGCUGCGCUGGACGAACAGUGGCAGACUUCUGUGAUCCGAGAACCUUGGGUUUCAUCUUCAUCAUCUUCCUCACUGCCGGAGACAGACAGAAGACCAACUCCCUGCUGAGACUCUCCUUUUCCAUGGAUCUGGUACACGCAGGUUAGGGAAGGGCGUGGCGCGGUGGUUCAGCUCACAGCUCGAGUGAUGAUGGUAAGUAUCUUUGUCUUUUCUAACAAGUUCAAAUUACACUAAUAUUUUGAUCCAUUUCCUUCACACUUCAUAGAAAGGAGUAGAAGAUCCAUUCCGAACAUAGGCAGAGCAUCAGACCAGUGUCUUAACGAGUCAUUUCUGUCUGAGAGUUUCCAAUGAAGAAGUUCAGGGCCGUGCAGAGACCACUAAAAGGGCAGGUGCUCAAAAGAAAAAAAAGGGCACAUCUCCCCGCAUUCUAGGACAGAAUAUGAACAAAGCCACUCAGCUUUCAGUUUAAUAAACAAUGAUAAAUUA
Long non-coding RNA from Poecilia latipinna (sailfin molly), 825 nucleotides. RefSeq lists it as uncharacterized. The record is from RefSeq and is a predicted model, not a curated record. Lineage: Eukaryota; Metazoa; Chordata; Actinopteri; Cyprinodontiformes; Poeciliidae. The transcript is spliced from 2 exons.